Molecule: ribosomal RNA, 802 nt
Filed under: Anoplophora lurida
Lineage: Eukaryota; Metazoa; Arthropoda; Insecta; Coleoptera; Cerambycidae
Description: partial 12S ribosomal RNA
Source: RNAcentral
GAUAAUAUAUUUCAAUUUUUAUUAGUAUUAAUAUAUUUUAAAAUUAAUAAAUUUUAAGAAAAAAGAUUAUUAGGUGAAAUUUUAAUUUUUAAGGAAAAAUUAUUUUUAGUGAUUAUUAAUAAGUUUAUUAAUAAACUAGGAUUAGAUACCCUAUUAUUAUAAAGGUAAAAUUAAACUAGAUUAGUAUUAGUUAUGUUCUUUAAAAUUAAAGAUUUUGGCGGUUUUUUAGUCUAUUCAGAGGAAUCUGUUCUAUAAUUGAUAGUCCACGAUUAACUUAACCUUUAUUAUAAAUUUAUAUAUCGUCGUAGUUUGAAUAUUUUUAUAGAAUUUAAAUAUUCAAAAUUUAUUUUUUAAAAUAUAUCAGAUCAAGGUAUAGUUAAUAUAGAGGUAGAAAUGGAUUACAUUAAUUUAAAUUAAGGAUUAUUUAUUGAAAAUAAAUUUAAAUAAGGAUUUGAAAGUAAUUUUUUUGAUAUAAAAAAAAUGAUUUUAGCUCUAAAAUAUGUACAUAUCGCCCGUCGCUUUCAUUUUAAGGUGAAAUAAGUCGUAACAAAGUAGGUUUACUGGAAGGUGUACCUAGAAAGACAAGUUAGAGCUUGUUUAUAAAGUGUUUUAUUUACAUUAAAAAGUUAAUUGUGAAAUUCAAUUUGACUUGAUUAUAGAAUGUUAUUAAAUAUUUUUAAAUUAAAUUAAAUUAAAAAAAUAAAUUAUUUUUUAGUAAAUAUAAGAAAAAAUUAAAAUUAUAAUAGAUUAUUAGUAUUGAGAAAGAAAUAUAAUAAAAAUUUUUAAAGAAAAAAAAUGUUUU